GAUCCUGGCUUAGGAUGAACGCUAGCGGCAGGCUUAACACAUGCAAGUCGAGGGGCAGCGGGAUGUAGCAAUACAUUGCCGGCGACCGGCGGAUGGGUGCGUAACGCGUAUGCAACCUACCUUAUACAGGGGAAUAACCUUUCGAAAGGGAGACUAACACCCCAUAGUAUUGAUUUAAGGCAUCUUAGAUUAAUUAAAUAUUUAUAGGUAUAAGAUGGGCAUGCGUAUGAUUAGCUAGUUGGUAAGGUAACGGCUUACCAAGGCGACGAUCAUUAGGGGUUCUGAGAGGAAGGUCCCCCACACUGGUACUGAGACACGGACCAGACUCCUACGGGAGGCAGCAGUGAGGAAUAUUGGUCAAUGGGCGCAAGCCUGAACCAGCCAUGCCGCGUGCCAGGAAGACGGCCUUAUGGGUUGUAAACUGCUUUUACAUAAGACUAACCGUAUAUUUGCGAAUAUACCUGAAUGUAUUAUGAGAAUAAGGAUCGGCUAACUCCGUGCCAGCCGCAGC
RNAcentral lists this ribosomal RNA (511 nucleotides) under uncultured bacterium. RNAcentral's name for it is "bacterial SSU rRNA". It matches the Rfam family "Bacterial small subunit ribosomal RNA", at positions 15 to 518 of the family's 1533-position model. The record is from RNAcentral.